RNAcentral lists this ribosomal RNA (309 nucleotides) under Staphylococcus hominis. RNAcentral's name for it is "bacterial SSU rRNA". It matches the Rfam family "Bacterial small subunit ribosomal RNA", at positions 466 to 774 of the family's 1533-position model. The record is from RNAcentral. Lineage: Bacteria; Bacillati; Bacillota; Bacilli; Caryophanales; Staphylococcaceae.
GUCUUGACGGUACCUAAUCAGAAAGCCACGGCUAACUACGUGCCAGCAGCCGCGGUAAUACGUAGGUGGCAAGCGUUAUCCGGAAUUAUUGGGCGUAAAGCGCGCGUAGGCGGUUUUUUAAGUCUGAUGUGAAAGCCCACGGCUCAACCGUGGAGGGUCAUUGGAAACUGGAAAACUUGAGUGCAGAAGAGGAAAGUGGAAUUCCAUGUGUAGCGGUGAAAUGCGCAGAGAUAUGGAGGAACACCAGUGGCGAAGGCGACUUUCUGGUCUGUAACUGACGCUGAUGUGCGAAAGCGUGGGGAUCAAACA